RNAcentral lists this ribosomal RNA (468 nucleotides) under uncultured bacterium. RNAcentral describes it as "partial 16S ribosomal RNA". It matches the Rfam family "Bacterial small subunit ribosomal RNA", at positions 28 to 507 of the family's 1533-position model. The record is from RNAcentral.
GACGAACGCUGGCGGCGUGCUUAACACAUGCAAGUCGAACGGAAAGGCCCUGCUUUUGUUGGGUGCUCGAGUGGCGAACGGGUGAGUAACACGUGAGUAACCUGCCCUUGACUUUGGGAUAACUUCAGGAAACUGGGGCUAAUACCGGAUAUGAGCUCCUGCUGCAUGGUGGGGGUUGGAAAGUUUCGGCGGUUGGGGCUGGACUCGCGGCUUAUCAGCUUGUUGGUGGGGUAGUGGCUUACCAAGGCUUUGACGGGUAGCCGGCCUGAGAGGGUGACCGGCCACAUUGGGACUGAGAUACGGCCCAGACUCCUACGGGAGGCAGCAGUGGGGAAUAUUGCACAAUGGGCGGAAGCCUGAUGCAGCAACGCCGCGUGCGGGAUGACGGCCUUCGGGUUGUAAACCGCUUUCGCCUGUGACGAAGCGUGAGUGACGGUAAUGGGUAAAGAAGCACCGGCUAACUACGUG